This 203-nucleotide microRNA precursor is filed under the name Olea europaea subsp. europaea. The record is from RNAcentral. Lineage: Eukaryota; Viridiplantae; Streptophyta; Magnoliopsida; Lamiales; Oleaceae.
UAAUCUUUCAUAAAUAUGCAUUUGAGGUCAUCUGGAUGGAUGAAAAUCGCCCAAAACACCAUUAGUUGAUUUGGAAAAUUUGUUGAACUAUCUGCUAAAUUGAUGGUUUUAUUGGAGUCGAUUCUUUACUUUUUCUGAUCAACUGAUAAUGUUUUGGACGAUUUCCUUUCAAAUGGAUUCAAGUGCAUAUUUAUGAAAGGUUA